This 330-nucleotide unclassified non-coding RNA is filed under the name soil metagenome. RNAcentral's name for it is "partial contains 5.8S ribosomal RNA, internal transcribed spacer 2, and large subunit ribosomal RNA". The stretch from base 1 to 120 matches the Rfam family "5.8S ribosomal RNA", at positions 35 to 154 of the family's 154-position model. The record is from RNAcentral.
GAUGAAGAACGUAGCGAAAUGCGAUAAGUAAUGUGAAUUGCAGAAUUCAGUGAAUCAUCGAAUCUUUGAACGCACAUUGCGCCCCCUGGUAUUCCGGGGGGCAUGCCUGUUCGAGCGUCAUUUCACCACUCAAGCCUCGCUUGGUAUUGGGCAACGCGGUCCGCCGCGUGCCUCAAAUCGACCGGCUGGGUCUUCUGUCCCCUAAGCGUUGUGGAAACUUUCGCUAAAGGGUGUUCGGGAGGCUACGCCGUAAAACAACCCCAUUUCUAAGGUUGACCUCGGAUCAGGUAGGGAUACCCGCUGAACUUAAGCAUAUCAAUAAGCAGAGGA